UACGUAGGGUGCGAGCGUUGUCCGGAAUCAUUGGGCGUAAAGCGCGUGUAGGCGGCCAAGUAAGUCUGGUGUGAAAGCCCUGGGCUUAACCCCGGAAGUGCACUGGAUACUGUUUGGCUAGAGGACGAGAGAGGGAAGUGGAAUUCCUGGUGUAGGGGUGAAAUCCGUAGAUAUCAGGAGGAACAUCGGUGGCGAAGGCGACUUCCUGGCUCGUUUCUGACGCUCAGACGCGAAAGCGUGGGGAGCAAACAGG
Molecule: ribosomal RNA, 253 nt
Filed under: uncultured bacterium
Lineage: Bacteria
Description: partial 16S ribosomal RNA
Rfam family: Bacterial small subunit ribosomal RNA
Source: RNAcentral